Molecule: long non-coding RNA, 759 nt
Organism: Populus nigra (black poplar)
Lineage: Eukaryota; Viridiplantae; Streptophyta; Magnoliopsida; Malpighiales; Salicaceae
Exons: 2
Source: RefSeq, a predicted model, not a curated record
ACUACUCCUUGCUUGUGUACUUUUGAGAUUUUUGAUCGAUACAGACAGCAUACCAAGUACCCUUGUGGUGGUGUAAAGUGACAGAGAAGGAGAAACUAUAUGGACCCAUUGUAACUUCGUCCUUGUAUUGUUAGAAAUUAUUAUCUUUGUUUCUCUUGUUCCAUAUCCAAUCCCAUGUUUGUUUAUAAUCUUGAUCCUUUGUUGAUUAGAUUAUCCGUCUUCGAGGCAAUGAGCUUUUCCUUACUGCACCAAUAAAACUUACAUCAGAAGCGAUAAGACAAGAAAUGGAGAUUGGAUACAUAUCAUAAUCCUGAUUUUCUCAUAGCUAUGGCUGCUUGUCGGUAUGAUUAGACCAUGGUACAAACAUUCAGGGGAGUGUUAGAGAGUUAAGAACUAAAACGAGCGCACCUGUCAAGAAUAUUUAAUUUCAGCAACAUCUCCAAACACAUCGAGUCAUAUAAUAGGGUUCUUAAGAGCAUAGAUCACACCAUCGAACAUUUUGAUUCAUAUAGCCUGUGUUCACUGCCAAUCUAACACCAUACAAAACAACCAUUUUCAGAGGAACAACCGUCUUCGCCACUUUUCUGCCAUCCAACAUAAACUCACCUUAAUGACAGCAUUAUACUGAACGCCGUCUACAAGCCCAGAGAAGAGAUCUCCACCGCCCGUCAGCACUCCUAGAAACAGUUGUGGCAUAAGUGUGUUUUCGAAUAAGAAUUCGUGUAACCAUGUUACAGAUUUAUACGUGCAUAUAUCGGA